CGGCGGGCCCCUGCGCAUUGUGGCAUGGUCAACCUGGUCAGGUCGGGAACGAAGCAGCCACAGCCAUUUCCUGCAAGUGCCGCAGACAAGGCUCGCCUCUUC
RNAcentral lists this signal recognition particle RNA (102 nucleotides) under Herbaspirillum sp. CF444. RNAcentral describes it as "Bacterial signal recognition particle RNA". It matches the Rfam family "Bacterial small signal recognition particle RNA". Rfam says of the family: The signal recognition particle (SRP) is a universally conserved ribonucleoprotein involved in the co-translational targeting of proteins to membranes. Archaeal SRP consists of a 7S RNA and homologues of the eukaryotic SRP19 and SRP54 proteins. The record is from RNAcentral. Lineage: Bacteria; Pseudomonadati; Pseudomonadota; Betaproteobacteria; Burkholderiales; Oxalobacteraceae.